UUUAAAGCUUCAUUCUCAAGUUAGUACUCAAGUAAGGUUGAAUGCAUUUGCCAACUAAAAAAUGGAAUUCUUUGAAGAGGAUUCAUGUCAAGGUGGCUAGGUGCGAAGGCGAUGCAAGAUGCAUCCUAGGUGCCCCAAACACAGCAAAGCGCAAGAAGCAUCUGAACCAGCAAAAAAAUAGUUUACACUAGCCAAAAAUGGACUGAAUUGGACUAAAGCAGGGCUGCACCGGCAACUGAAAUUUGAAAGUGACUACAACCCUGAGCUUUAAGCCAAUCCAUAUAUCCGUCAUCUUUAUUGCAUUGGCUGCAAGACGCUCAGCCACGGUGUCGUGUGGGAGGUCGGCACUGGCAGCGCUCAGGCCAUCACCUUAUUUGGGAGUAUGUACAGAAGUGUAAUUGGCACAAAUACAUGCAAUACUCUCAAAAGCUAACUCGAUGCUAAAGAAACAUUCAAGAUUGAAUCGUGCGUGUAAUAUACGUCGUUAAACUUAGAAGGGUUCAUUUUCGAUUAGGGUUUUUGGGUUGUUUGAUAGGCGCCGCAACGCGGCGCAGACUAAAACCUAGUUCUUUCUAAGAACAUUCACAACAA
RNAcentral lists this long non-coding RNA (591 nucleotides) under Helianthus annuus (common sunflower). The record is from RNAcentral. Lineage: Eukaryota; Viridiplantae; Streptophyta; Magnoliopsida; Asterales; Asteraceae.